Salvelinus fontinalis (brook trout) is the source of this 11167-nucleotide long non-coding RNA. RefSeq lists it as uncharacterized. The transcript is spliced from 3 exons. NCBI's taxonomy places the organism in Eukaryota, Metazoa, Chordata, Actinopteri, Salmoniformes, Salmonidae. The record is from RefSeq and is a predicted model, not a curated record.
ACACACACACACACACACACACACACACACACAGGACUAACAACAGACCCUACCUUCUCAGGCCAGGUCUCUCACACACAGGACUAGCAACAGACCCUACCUUCUCAGGCCAGGUCUCUCACACACAGGACUAGUAACAGACCCUACCUUCUCAGUUCAGGUCUCUCACACACAGGACUAACAACAUACCCUACCUUCUCAGGCCAGGUCUCUCACACACAGGACUAACAACAGACCCUACCUUCUCAGGCCAGGUCUCUCACACACAGGACUAGUAACAGACCCUACCUUCUCAGGCCGGGUCUCUCACACACAGGACUAGUAACAGACCCUACCUUCUCAGGCCAGGUCUCUCACACAGAGGACUAGUAACAGACCCUACCUUCUCAGGCCAGGUAAAACACACACAGGACUAGCAACAUACCCUACCUUCUCAGGCCAGGUAAAACACACACAGGACUAGUAACAGACCCUACCUUCUCAGGCCAGGUAAAACACACACAGGACUAGCAACAUACCCUACCUUCUCAGGCCAGGUAAAACACACAGGACUAGUAACAGACCCUACCUUCUCAGGCCAGGUAAAACACACACAGGACUAGCAACAUACCCUACCUUCUCAGGCCAGGUCUCUCACACACAGGACUAGUAACAGACCCUACCUUCUCAGGCCAGGUCUCUCACACACAGGACUAGUAACAGACCCUACCUUCUCAGGCCAGGUCUCUCACACACAGGACUAGUAACAGACCCUACCUUCUCAGACCAGGUAAAACACACACAGGACUAGUAACAGACCCUACCUUCUCAGGCCAGGUAAAACACACACAGGACUAGUAACAGACCCUACCUUCUCAGACCAGGUAAAACACACACAGGACUAGUAACAGACCCUACCUUCUCAGACCAGGUAAAACACACACAGGACUAGUAACAGACCCUACCUUCUCAGGCCAGGUCUCUCACACACAGGACUAGUAACAGACCCUACCUUCUCAGGCCAGGUCAAACACACACAGGACUAGUAACAGACCCUGCCUUCUCAGGCCAGGUAAAACACACACAGGACUAGUAACAGACCCUACCUUCUCAGGCCAGGUAAAACACACACAGGACUAGUAACAGACCCUACCUUCUCAGGCCAGGUCUCUCACACACAGGACUAGUAACAGACCCUACCUUCUCAGGCCGGGUCUCUCACACACAGGACUAGUAACAGACCCUACCUUCUCAGGCCAGGUCUCUCACACAGAGGACUAGUAACAGACCCUACCUUCUCAGGCCAGGUAAAAGACACACAGGACUAGCAACAUACCCUACCUUCUCAGGCCAGGUAAAACACACACAGGACUAGUAACAGACCCUACCUUCUCAGGCCAGGUAAAACACACACAGGACUAGCAACAUACCCUACCUUCUCAGGCCAGGUAAAACACACACAGGACUAGUAACAGACCCUACCUUCUCAGGCCAGGUAAAACACACACAGGACUAGUAACAGACCCUACCUUCUCAGGCCAGGUAAAACACACACAGGACUAGCAACAUACCCUACCUUCUCAGGCCAGGUCUCUCACACACAGGACUAGUAACAGACCCUACCUUCUCAGGCCAGGUCUCUCACACACAGGACUAGUAACAGACCCUACCUUCUCAGGCCAGGUCUCUCACACACAGGACUAGUAACAGACCCUACCUUCUCAGACCAGGUAAAACACACACAGGACUAGUAACAGACCCUACCUUCUCAGGCCAGGUAAAACACACACAGGACUAGUAACAGACCCUACCUUCUCAGACCAGGUAAAACACACACAGGACUAGUAACAGACCCUACCUUCUCAGACCAGGUAAAACACACACAGGACUAGUAACAGACCCUACCUUCUCAGGCCAGGUCUCUCACACACAGGACUAGUAACAGACCCUACCUUCUCAGGCCAGGUCUCUCACACACAGGACUAGUAACAGACCCUACCUUCUCAGGCCAGGUCAAACACACACAGGACUAGUAACAGACCCUGCCUUCUCAGGCCAGGUAAAACACACACAGGACUAGUAACAGACCCUACCUUCUCAGGCCAGGUAAAACACACACAGGACUAGUAACAGACCCUACCUUCUCAGGCCAGGUCUCUCACACACAGGACUAGUAACAGACCCUACCUUCUCAGGCCGGGUCUCUCACACACAGGACUAGUAACAGACCCUACCUUCUCAGGCCAGGUCUCUCACACAGAGGACUAGUAACAGACCCUACCUUCUCAGACCAGGUCUCUCACACACAGGACUAGUAACAGACCCUACCUUCUCAGGCCAGGUCUCUCACACACAGGACUAGUAACAGACCCUACCUUCUCAGGCCAGGUAAAACACACACAGGACUAGCAACAUACCCUACCUUCUCAGGCCAGGUAAAACACACACAGGACUAGUAACAGACCCUACCUUCUCAGGCCAGGUAAAACACACACAGGACUAGCAACAUACCCUACCUUCUCAGGCCAGGUAAAACACACAGGACUAGUAACAGACCCUACCUUCUCAGGCCAGGUAAAACACACACAGGACUAGCAACAUACCCUACCUUCUCAGGCCAGGUCUCUCACACACAGGACUAGUAACAGACCCUACCUUCUCAGGCCAGGUCUCUCACACACAGGACUAGUAACAGACCCUACCUUCUCAGGCCAGGUCUCUCACACACAGGACUAGUAACAGACCCUACCUUCUCAGACCAGGUAAAACACACACAGGACUAGUAACAGACCCUACCUUCUCAGGCCAGGUAAAACACACACAGGACUAGUAACAGACCCUACCUUCUCAGACCAGGUAAAACACACACAGGACUAGUAACAGACCCUACCUUCUCAGACCAGGUAAAACACACACAGGACUAGUAACAGACCCUACCUUCUCAGGCCAGGUCUCUCACACACAGGACUAGUAACAGACCCUACCUUCUCAGGCCAGGUCAAACACACACAGGACUAGUAACAGACCCUGCCUUCUCAGGCCAGGUAAAACACACACAGGACUAGUAACAGACCCUACCUUCUCAGGCCAGGUAAAACACACACAGGACUAGUAACAGACCCUACCUUCUCAGGCCAGGUCUCUCUCACACAGGACUAGUAACAGACCCUACCUUCUCAGGCCAGGUCUCUCACACACAGGACUAGUAACAGACCCUACCUUCUCAGGCCGGGUCUCUCACACACAGGACUAGUAACAGACCCUACCUUCUCAGGCCAGGUAAAACACACAGGACUAGUAACAGACCCUACCUUCUCAGGCCAGGUCUCUCACACACAGGACUAGUAACAGACCCUACCUUCUCAGGCCAGGUAAAACACACACAGGACAAGCAACAUACCCUACCUUCUCAGGCCAGGUAAAACACACACAGGACUAGCAACAUACCCUACCUUCUCAGGCCAGGUCUCUCACACACAGGACUAGUAACAGACCCUACCUUCUCAGGCCAGGUCUCUCACACACAGGACUAGUAACAGACCCUACCUUCUCAGGCCAGGUCUCUCACACACAGGACUAGUAACAGACCCUACCUUCUCAGACCAGGUAAAACACACACAGGACUAGUAACAGACCCUACCUUCUCAGGCCAGGUAAAACACACACAGGACUAGUAACAGACCCUACCUUCUCAGACCAGGUAAAACACACACAGGACUAGUAACAGACCCUACCUUCUCAGACCAGGUAAAACACACACAGGACUAGUAACAGACCCUACCUUCUCAGGCCAGGUCUCUCACACACAGGACUAGUAACAGACCCUACCUUCUCAGGCCAGGUCAAACACACACAGGACUAGUAACAGACCCUGCCUUCUCAGGCCAGGUAAAACACACACAGGACUAGUAACAGACCCUGCCUUCUCAGGCCAGGUAAAACACACACAGGACUAGUAACAGACCCUACCUUCUCAGGCCAGGUCUCUCACACACAGGACUAGUAACAGACCCUACCUUCUCAGGCCGGGUCUCUCACACACAGGACUAGUAACAGACCCUACCUUCUCAGGCCAGGUCUCUCACACAGAGGACUAGUAACAGACCCUACCUUCUCAGGCCAGGUAAAAGACACACAGGACUAGCAACAUACCCUACCUUCUCAGGCCAGGUAAAACACACACAGGACUAGUAACAGACCCUACCUUCUCAGGCCAGGUAAAACACACAGGACUAGUAACAGACCCUACCUUCUCAGGCCAGGUAAAACACACACAGGACUAGUAACAGACCCUACCUUCUCAGGCCAGGUAAAACACACACAGGACUAGCAACAUACCCUACCUUCUCAGGCCAGGUAAAACACACAGGACUAGUAACAGACCCUACCUUCUCAGGCCAGGUAAAACACACACAGGACUAGUAACAGACCCUACCUUCUCAGGCCAGGUAAAACACACACAGGACUAGUAACAGACCCUACCUUCUCAGGCCAGGUAAAACACACACAGGACUAGCAACAUACCCUACCUUCUCAGGCCAGGUCUCUCACACACAGGACUAGUAACAGACCCUACCUUCUCAGGCCAGGUCUCUCACACACAGGACUAGUAACAGACCCUACCUUCUCAGGCCAGGUCUCUCACACACAGGACUAGUAACAGACCCUACCUUCUCAGACCAGGUAAAACACACACAGGACUAGUAACAGACCCUACCUUCUCAGGCCAGGUAAAACACACACAGGACUAGUAACAGACCCUACCUUCUCAGACCAGGUAAAACACACACAGGACUAGUAACAGACCCUACCUUCUCAGACCAGGUAAAACACACACAGGACUAGUAACAGACCCUACCUUCUCAGGCCAGGUCUCUCACACACAGGACUAGUAACAGACCCUACCUUCUCAGGCCAGGUCUCUCACACACAGGACUAGUAACAGACCCUACCUUCUCAGGCCAGGUCAAACACACACAGGACUAGUAACAGACCCUGCCUUCUCAGGCCAGGUAAAACACACACAGGACUAGUAACAGACCCUACCUUCUCAGGCCAGGUAAAACACACACAGGACUAGUAACAGACCCUACCUUCUCAGGCCAGGUCUCUCACACACAGGACUAGUAACAGACCCUACCUUCUCAGGCCGGGUCUCUCACACACAGGACUAGUAACAGACCCUACCUUCUCAGGCCAGGUCUCUCACACAGAGGACUAGUAACAGACCCUACCUUCUCAGACCAGGUCUCUCACACACAGGACUAGUAACAGACCCUACCUUCUCAGGCCAGGUCUCUCACACACAGGACUAGUAACAGACCCUACCUUCUCAGGCCAGGUAAAACACACACAGGACUAGCAACAUACCCUACCUUCUCAGGCCAGGUAAAACACACACAGGACUAGUAACAGACCCUACCUUCUCAGGCCAGGUAAAACACACACAGGACUAGCAACAUACCCUACCUUCUCAGGCCAGGUAAAACACACAGGACUAGUAACAGACCCUACCUUCUCAGGCCAGGUAAAACACACACAGGACUAGCAACAUACCCUACCUUCUCAGGCCAGGUCUCUCACACACAGGACUAGUAACAGACCCUACCUUCUCAGGCCAGGUCUCUCACACACAGGACUAGUAACAGACCCUACCUUCUCAGGCCAGGUCUCUCACACACAGGACUAGUAACAGACCCUACCUUCUCAGACCAGGUAAAACACACACAGGACUAGUAACAGACCCUACCUUCUCAGGCCAGGUAAAACACACACAGGACUAGUAACAGACCCUACCUUCUCAGACCAGGUAAAACACACACAGGACUAGUAACAGACCCUACCUUCUCAGACCAGGUAAAACACACACAGGACUAGUAACAGACCCUACCUUCUCAGGCCAGGUCUCUCACACACAGGACUAGUAACAGACCCUACCUUCUCAGGCCAGGUCAAACACACACAGGACUAGUAACAGACCCUGCCUUCUCAGGCCAGGUAAAACACACACAGGACUAGUAACAGACCCUACCUUCUCAGGCCAGGUAAAACACACACAGGACUAGUAACAGACCCUACCUUCUCAGGCCAGGUCUCUCUCACACAGGACUAGUAACAGACCCUACCUUCUCAGGCCAGGUCUCUCACACACAGGACUAGUAACAGACCCUACCUUCUCAGGCCGGGUCUCUCACACACAGGACUAGUAACAGACCCUACCUUCUCAGGCCAGGUAAAACACACAGGACUAGUAACAGACCCUACCUUCUCAGGCCAGGUCUCUCACACACAGGACUAGUAACAGACCCUACCUUCUCAGGCCAGGUAAAACACACACAGGACAAGCAACAUACCCUACCUUCUCAGGCCAGGUAAAACACACACAGGACUAGCAACAUACCCUACCUUCUCAGGCCAGGUCUCUCACACACAGGACUAGUAACAGACCCUACCUUCUCAGGCCAGGUCUCUCACACACAGGACUAGUAACAGACCCUACCUUCUCAGGCCAGGUAAAACACACACAGGACAAGCAACAUACCCUACCUUCUCAGGCCAGGUAAAACACACACAGGACUAGCAACAUACCCUACCUUCUCAGGCCAGGUCUCUCACACACAGGACUAGUAACAGACCCUACCUUCUCAGGCCAGGUCUCUCACACACAGGACUAGUAACAGACCCUACCUUCUCAGGCCAGGUAAAACACACACAGGACUAGUAACAGACCCUACCUUCUCAGGCCAGGUAAAACACACACAGGACUAGCAACAUACCCUACCUUCUCAGGCCAGGUCUCUCACACACAGGACUAGUAACAGACCCUACCUUCUCAGGCCAGGUCUCUCACACACAGGACUAGUAACAGACCCUACCUUCUCAGGCCAGGUCUCUCACACACAGGACUAGUAACAUACCCUACCUUCUCAGGCCAGGUCUCUCACACACAGGACUAGUAACAGACCCUACCUUCUCAGGCCAGGUAAAACACACACAGGACUAGUAACAGACCCUACCUUCUCAGGCCAGGUAAAACACACACAGGACUAGCAACAUACCCUACCUUCUCAGGCCAGGUCUCUCACACACAGGACUAGUAACAGACCCUACCUUCUCAGGCCAGGUCUCUCACACACAGGACUAGUAACAGACCCUACCUUCUCAGGCCAGGUCUCUCACACACAGGACUAGUAACAGACCCUACCUUCUCAGGCCAGGUCAAACACACACAGGACUAGUAACAGACCCUGCCUUCUCAGGCCAGGUAAAACACACACAGGACUAGUAACAGACCCUACCUUCUCAGGCCAGGUAAAACACACACAGGACUAGUAACAGACCCUACCUUCUCAGGCCAGGUCUCUCACACACAGGACUAGUAACAGACCCUACCUUCUCAGGCCAGGUAAAACACACACAGGACUAGUAACAGACCCUACCUUCUCAGGCCAGGUCUCUCACACACAGGACUAGUAACAGACCCUACCUUCUCAGGCCAGGUAAAACACACACAGGACUAGCAACAUACCCUACCUUCUCAGGCCAGGUAAAACACACAGGACUAGUAACAGACCCUACCUUCUCAGGCCAGGUCUCUCACACACAGGACUAGUAACAGACCCUACCUUCUCAGGCCAGGUAAAACACACACAGGACAAGCAACAUACCCUACCUUCUCAGGCCAGGUAAAACACACACAGGACUAGCAACAUACCCUACCUUCUCAGGCCAGGUCUCUCACACACAGGACUAGUAACAGACCCUACCUUCUCAGGCCAGGUCUCUCACACACAGGACUAGUAACAGACCCUACCUUCUCAGGCCAGGUCUCUCACACACAGGACUAGUAACAGACCCUACCUUCUCAGGCCAGGUAAAACACACACAGGACUAGCAACAUACCCUACCUUCUCAGGCCAGGUCUCUCACACACAGGACUAGUAACAGACCCUACCUUCUCAGGCCAGGUCUCUCACACACAGGACUAGUAACAUACCCUACCUUCUCAGGCCAGGUCUCUCACACACAGGACUAGUAACAGACCCUACCUUCUCAGGCCAGGUCUCUCACACACAGGAUUAGUAACAGACCCUACCUUCUCAGGCCAGGUCUCUCACACACAGGACUAGUAACAUACCCUACCUUCUCAGGCCAGGUAAAACACACAGACCUGAACAUGUAGCAGAUAUGAUUUGUGUUGAGUAGAGUCAGACAGAAUCCAGAAAUCUGAAACGGAUUAAAUAUCUAUAGAAUCAAUCCAGACGUGGUUCCAUUCCAGAUCUAAUGCCUAUAUGUUGUAGGUGUUUUCUAGUCAGGCAGACGACACACUGAUCACACACUGACUCCCAUAGCUACUGCUACAGAAUGUAGUCAUCUCUGCUUUGGUUGACAACAGGAAUCCUCUACUGUUAGCCAAUAGCGUUUCAGUGGUCGUUAUGCAGAUUCUCUCUUUCUCCUCGCUUCAGUGAAUCUCAUCAGCAGAGCCUGAUAAUGGAGUGUGUGUGUGUGUGUGUGUGUGUGUGUGUGUGUGUGUGUGUGUGUGUGUGUGUGUGUGUGUGUGUGUGUGUGUGUGUGUUCUGAUCUGCAUAUCGGACCACACGACAUGCGUGCUAAGGGGAGUGUGUUGAGCAUAUGGUGUUUAGCAGGCUCAUCUGUCUUCUCCUCAACCUACACCAGUAACACACACACACACACACACGUCUCUCUGCUAGUCUAGUACAACACACACGUCUCUCUGCUAGUCUAGUACAACACACACGUCUCUCUGCUAGUCUAGUUAAACACACACGUCUCUCUGCUAGUCUAGUACAACACACACGUCUCUCUGCUAGUCUAGUUAAACACACACGUCUCUCUGCUAGUCUAGUAAAACACACACGUCUCUCUGCUAGUCUAGUAAAACACACACGUCUCUCUGCUAGUCUAGUUAAACACACACGUCUCUCUGCUAGUCUAGUUAAACACACACGUCUCUCUGCUAGUCUAGUAAAACACACACGUCUCUCUGCUAGUCUAGUUAAACACACACGUCUCUCUGCUAGUCUAGUAAAACACACACGUCUCUCUGCUAGUCUAGUAAAACACACACACCUCUCUGCUAGUCUAGUUAAACACACACGUCUCUGCUAGUCUAGUUAAACACACACGUCUCUCUGCUAGUCUAGUAAAACACACACGUCUCUCUGCUAGUCUAGUAAAACACACACGUCUCUCUGCUAGUCUAGUUAAACACACACGUCUCUGCUAGUCUAGUUAAACACACACGUCUCUCUGCUAGUCUAGUACAACACACACGUCUCUCUGCUAGUCUAGUUAAACACACACGUCUCUGCUAGUCUAGUUAAACACACACGUCUCUCUGCUAGUCUAGUACAACACACACGUCUCUCUGCUAGUCUAGUUAAACACACACGUCUCUCUGCUAGUCUAGUACAACACACACGUCUCUGCUAGUCUAGUUAAACACACACGUCUCUCUGCUAGUCUAGUACAACACACACGUCUCUCUGCUAGUCUAGUACAACACACACGUCUCUCUGCUAGUCUAGUUAAACACACACACGUCUCUCUGCUAGUCUAGUACAACACACACGUCUCUCUGCUAGUCUAGUACAACACACACGUCUCUCUGCUAGUCUAGUACAACACACACGUCUCUCUGCUAGUCUAGUACAACACACACGUCUCUCUGCUAGUCUAGUUAAACACACACGUCUCUCUGCUAGUCUAGUACAACACACACGUCUCUCUGCUAGUCUAGUACAACACACACGUCUCUCUGCUAGUCUAGUAUAACACACACACGUCUCUCUGCUAGUCUAGUACAACACACACGUCUCUCUGCUAGUCUAGUAUAACACACACACGUCUCUCUGCUAGUCUAGUAAAACACACACGUCUCUCUGCUAGUCUAGUACAACACACACGUCUCUCUGCUAGUCUAGUUAAACACACACGUCUCUCUGCUAGUCUAGUACAACACACACGUCUCUCUGCUAGUCUAGUACAACACACACGUCUCUCUGCUAGUCUAGUUAAACACACACGUCUCUGCUAGUCUAGUACAACACACACGUCUCUCUGCUAGUCUCGUACAACACACACGUCUCUCUGCUAGUCUAGUUAAACACACACGUCUCUCUGCUAGUCUAGUUAAACACACACGUCUCUCUGCUAGUCUAGUUAAACACACACGUCUCUCUGCUAGUCUAGUUAAACACACACACGUCUCUCUGCUAGUCUAGUUAAACACACACGUCUCUCUGCUAGUCUAGUACAACACACACGUCUCUCUGCUAGUCUAGUACAACACACACGUCUCUCUGCUAGUCUAGUACAACACACACGUCUCUCUGCUAGUCUAGUACAACACACACGUCUCUCUGCUAGUCUAGUACAACACACACGUCUCUCUGCUAGUCUAGUACAACACACACGUCUCUCUGCUAGUCUAGUACAACACACACGUCUCUCUGCUAGUCUAGUUAAACACACACGUCUCUCUGCUAGUCUAGUACAACACACACGUCUCUCUGCUAGUCUAGUUAAACACACACACGUCUCUCUGCUAGUCUAGUUAAACACACACGUCUCUCUGCUAGUCUAGUUAAACACACACGUCUCUCUGCUAGUCUAGUUAAACACACACGUCUCUCUGCUAGUCUAGUUAAACACACACGUCUCUCUGCUAGUCUAGUUAAACACACACGUCUCUCUGCUAGUCUAGUUAAACACACACGUCUCUCUGCUAGUCUAGUACAACACACACGUCUCUCUGCUAGUCUAGUACAACACACACGUCUCUCUGCUAAUCUAGUACAACACACACGUCUCUCUGCUAGUCUAGUUAAACACACACGUCUCUCUGCUAGUCUAGUACAACACACACGUCUCUCUGCUAGUCUAGUACAACACACACGUCUCUCUGCUAAUCUAGUUCAACACACACGUCUCUCUGCUAGUCUAGUUAAACACACACGUCUCUCUGCUAGUCUAGUAAAACACACACGUCUCUCUGCUAGUCUAGUUAAACACACGUCUCUCUGCUAGUCUAGUUAAACACACACGUCUCUCUGCUAGUCUAGUUAAACACACACGUCUCUCUGCUAGUCUAGUACAACACACACGUCUCUCUGCUAGUCUAGUACAACACACACUCUAAACUAUUUUUCCUUCUCUCCCUCUCCCU